This 1144-nucleotide ribosomal RNA is filed under the name uncultured cyanobacterium. RNAcentral describes it as "bacterial SSU rRNA". It matches the Rfam family "Bacterial small subunit ribosomal RNA", at positions 377 to 1533 of the family's 1533-position model. The record is from RNAcentral. Lineage: Bacteria; Bacillati; Cyanobacteriota.
CGAAGCCUGACGGAGCAAUACCGCGUGAGGGAAGAAGGCUUUUGGGUUGUAAACCUCUUUUGUCAGGGAAGAAGAAUUGACGAUACCUGAAGAAAAAGCAUCGGUUAACUCCGUGCCAGCAGCCGCGGUAAUACGGAGGAUGCAAGCGUUAUCCGGAAUCAUUGGGCGUAAAGGGUCCGCAGGUGGCGAAUAAAGUCUGCUGUUAAAGACCGGGGCUAAACUCCGGAAAGCAGUGGAAACUGAUUAGCUAGAGUACGGUAGGGGUAGAGGGAAUUCCCAGUGUAGCGGUGAAAUGCGUAGAUAUUGGGAAGAACACCGGUGGCGAAAGCGCUCUACUAGGCCGAAACUGACACUGAGGGACGAAAGCUAGGGUAGCGAAAGGGAUUAGAUACCCCUGUAGUCUUAGCGGUAAACGAUGGAUGCUAGGUGUAGCUUGUAUCGACCCGAGCUGUGCCGAAGCUAACGCGAUAAGUAUCCCGCCUGGGGAGUACGCACGCAAGUGUGAAACUCAAAGGAAUUGACGGGGGCCCGCACAAGCGGUGGAGUAUGUGGUUUAAUUCGAUGCAACGCGAAGAACCUUACCAGGGCUUGACAUGUCGCGAAUCUAGCGGAAACGUUAGAGUGCCUUAGGGAAUGCGAACACAGGUGGUGCAUGGCUGUCGUCAGCUCGUGUCGUGAGAUGUUGGGUUAAGUCCCGCAACGAGCGCAACCCUCGUCCUUAGUUGCCAAUAUUAAGUUAGGCACUCUAGGGAGACUGCCGGGGACAACUCGGAGGAAGGUGGGGAUGACGUCAAGUCAGCAUGCCCCUUACGUCCUGGGCGACACACGUACUACAAUGGUUGGGACAAAGGGCAGCAAGCUCGCGAGAGUAAGCGAAUCUCAUCAAACCCAGCCACAGUUCAGAUUGCAGGCUGCAACUCGCCUGCAUGAAGUAGGAAUCGCUAGUAAUCGCAGGUCAGCAUACUGCGGUGAAUUCGUUCCCGGGCCUUGUACACACCGCCCGUCACACCAUGGAAGCUGGCUACGCCCGAAGUCGUUACCCUAACCCGGUUUUGGGAGGGGGAUGCCGAAGGUAGAGCUAGUGACUGGGGUGAAGUCGUAACAAGGUAGCCGUACCGGAAGGUGUGGCUGGAUCACCUCCUUU